Long non-coding RNA from Camarhynchus parvulus, 725 nucleotides. RefSeq lists it as uncharacterized. NCBI's taxonomy places the organism in Eukaryota, Metazoa, Chordata, Aves, Passeriformes, Thraupidae. The transcript has 4 exons. The record is from RefSeq and is a predicted model, not a curated record.
AGUGACACCAGGCAGUCCCUCCUGUCACCUCCCGUGCGUGUGACAGCACCGGCCUCUCUCCCUGACUGCAGCCCGUGAGUCCCUGGGCUGGAGAAAGCUGAAAGUUUGGCCAUCCUGCAUCUUCUUCGAAGUACAAACAUAUCCAGUCCAGACUCAGAAUGAGCUGCAGCAACUGGAUAAAUCUACUGGCACCAUGAAGAAUUCAAGUGGUUAAUUUGGAUUAAAAGUCUCUCUGCAGGUGGAAUGCCUCCUGUCUCUCAAGUGGCUCAGCAGAUCAGCCAGGAGGAAAACCAACAGCAAAAUGGACCAAAUUUGUCAAAUCUGCUUCAUUCCUUACGCAGCAGGAACCCAGCUCUGCCCCAGCAGGUACAACCAGCAGGAUGGGAUAAGAACCAUGUGCUUGUGGUCCCAGCUCCAGUUCCUCACAACAACAGCACACAGACUGGUCUCUCUUUGAUGUGAUUGCGAUGGAAAACCAAAUUACUUGCUAUGAAGCAGAAAUGCUGCCAAAACUGAAGGUAACUGGAAAGCUUAUGGUAGAGAUCUCCUGCUCCCCUUCAUCACCCAGACUUGAGCCAGUGAGGCUCCAACCAAACAGAGACCUGUGUGUGUUCCCAGCUGUAGCUGUUGCUCCUCCCUGUUUGCAUGGAGCAAAUCCUUCUUACACAUGGAGCCAUGGAAUGCAACCCCUGCAGUUCAGUCUGGAGGAGCAGAGAUGGUGCAGG